UCUAAAUUUAUAACUAAAUUCUCUAUCAUUAAAGGUAAAAAUUCAUGUCGUAUUUAACAUUAUAUUACAAAAAAAUAUUUUUAAAAUAUAAAAUAUAAAAAGAAGAAGCUAAAAGAAUAGUUAAAAUUACAUACAGCAUAAUGAUGUAUAGGGCCUGUUUUAUUUUAUGUAAUUAAAAGGAAUGUAGAAAAUUGGGAAAAAAUAUUUAACAACAAAAUAAUUUCGAAAUAGGGCUAUAACGUAAAAAACUGGAAAUUAAAUUAUUUUUUUAGAAACGAAAUUUCUUAUAGUGCAAAUAUUUGAGAAACUUGAGAAAUGAUCAAGAAUAUUUAGUUACAAUCCUUGAUGACUGAAAAUAUAAUUACUUUAAGAAGAAUACACUAACAUAAAGUCUAAAAAUGGUAUUUUGUACCAUGUUAUAUACAAAUAAUACAUUAAAAUAACUUAUGUACAACUUAUGUCUAAAAA
Molecule: long non-coding RNA, 468 nt
Filed under: Physcomitrium patens
Lineage: Eukaryota; Viridiplantae; Streptophyta; Bryopsida; Funariales; Funariaceae
Description: long non-coding RNA (PPAT_LNC012421)
Source: RNAcentral